AGGACGAACGCUGGCGGCACGCUUAACACAUGCAAGUCGAACGGAGUUAUCGAGAGCCUGCUUUGAUAACUUAGUGGCGGACGGGUGAGUAACACGUGAGCAAUCUGCCCUUAAGAGGGGGAUAGCAGUUGGAAACGACUGAUAAUACCGCAUAAGAUAGUAGUACCGCAUGGUACAGCUAUAAAAGAUUUAUCGCUUAAGGAUGAGCUCGCGUCUGAUUAGCUAGUUGGUGAGGUAACGGCUCACCAAGGCAACGAUCAGUAGCCGGACUGAGAGGUUGGACGGCCACAUUGGGACUGAGACACGGCCCAGACUCCUACGGGAGGCAGCAGUGGGGAAUAUUGCACAAUGGAGGAAACUCUGAAUGCAGCGAUGCCGCGUGAGGGAAGAAGGUUUUAGGAUUGUAAACCUCUGUUGACAGGGACGAUAAUGACGGUACCUGUUGAGGAAACUCCGGCUAACUACGUGCCAGCCGCCGC
RNAcentral lists this ribosomal RNA (479 nucleotides) under uncultured bacterium. RNAcentral's name for it is "bacterial SSU rRNA". It matches the Rfam family "Bacterial small subunit ribosomal RNA", at positions 26 to 518 of the family's 1533-position model. The record is from RNAcentral.